UGAAUACGAGACGCUAAGGCGUCGAAGUAGUGUAUGUCAUACUUCCAAGAAAAGCUUGCACUGUCAUAGAUAAAAAACGCCUGUACCAUAACCGACACAGGUGGGUAGGUAGAGUAUACUAAGGGGCGCGAGAUAACUCUCUCUAAGGAACUCGGCAAAAUAACUCCGUAACUUCGGGAGAAGGAGUGCCUUAUUCUUAAGGUUGCAAUAACAAGAUCCAAGCAACUGUUUAUCAAAAACACAGGUCUCCGCUAAGUCGUAAGACGAUGUAUGGGGGCUGACGCCUGCCCAGUGCCAGAAGGUUAAAGAAGCUGGUUAGCAUUUGCGAAGCUAGUAACUGAAGCCCUGGUGAACGGCGGCCGUAACAAUAACGGUCCUAAGGUAGCGAAAUUCCUUGUCGGGUAAGUCCCGACCCGCACGAAAGGCGUAAUGAUUUGGAUACUGUCUCGGAGAGGGGCUCGGUGAAAUAGACUUGUCUGUGAAGAUGCGGACUACCUGCACCAGGACAGAAAGACCCUAUGAAGCUUUACUGUAACUUGAAAUUGAAAUUGGACUUUAUUCGCGCAGUAUAGGUGGGAGGCGUUGAUUAUAAUCUUGCGGGAUUAUUGGAGCCAUUAGUGAGAUACCACUCUUGUAAUGUUAGAUUUCUAACUUUGAAUCAUUAUCUGGUCAAAGAACAGUUUCAGGCGGGCAGUUUGACUGGGGCGGUCGCCUCCUAAACGGUAACGGAGGCGUACAAAGGUUUCCUCUGAACGGUUAGAAAUCGUAUCUAGAGUGUAAAGGCAUAAGGAAGCUUGACUGUGAGACCUACAAGUCGAGCAGGGACGAAAGUCGGUCUUAGUGAUCUGACGGUACUGAGUGGAAAGGCCGUCACUCAACGGAUAAAAGUUACUCUAAGGAUAACAGGCUGAUCUCCCCCAAGAGUUCACAUCGACGGGGAGGUUUGGCACCUCGAUGUCGGCUCAUCGCAUCCUGGGGCGGUAGUACGUCCCAAGGGUUGGGCUGUUCGCCCAUGAAAGCGGUACGCGAGCUGGGUUCAGAACGUCGUGAGGCAGCUCGGUCCAUAUCCGGUGUAGGCGUUAGAAUAUUGAGAGGAGCCUUCUUUAGUACGAGAGGACCGAGAAGGACAUACCUCUGGUGUACCAGUUAUCGUGCCAACGGUAAACGCUGGGUAGCUAUGUAUGGAGUGGAUAACCGCUGAAAGCAUCUAAGUGGGAAGCCCACCUCAAGAUAAG
Molecule: ribosomal RNA, 1235 nt
Filed under: metagenome
Description: bacterial LSU rRNA
Rfam family: Bacterial large subunit ribosomal RNA
Source: RNAcentral